RNAcentral lists this ribosomal RNA (1658 nucleotides) under Vibrio cholerae. Its description in RNAcentral is "bacterial LSU rRNA". It matches the Rfam family "Bacterial large subunit ribosomal RNA", at positions 1198 to 2838 of the family's 2925-position model. Lineage: Bacteria; Pseudomonadati; Pseudomonadota; Gammaproteobacteria; Vibrionales; Vibrionaceae. The record is from RNAcentral.
AGCUGCGGCAAUGUCUUUUAGACAUUGGGUAGGGGAGCGUUCUGUAAGCCGUUGAAGGUGAAUCGUAAGGUUUGCUGGAGGUAUCAGAAGUGCGAAUGCUGACAUGAGUAACGACAAAGGGGGUGAAAAACCUCCUCGCCGGAAGACCAAGGGUUCCUGUCCAACGUUAAUCGGGGCAGGGUGAGUCGACCCCUAAGGUGAGGCCGAAAGGCGUAAUCGAUGGGAAACGGGUUAAUAUUCCCGUACUUCUGACUAUUGCGAUGGGGGGACGGAGAAGGCUAGGUGGGCCAGGCGACGGUUGUCCUGGUUCAAGUGCGUAGGCUUGAGAGUUAGGUAAAUCCGGCUCUCUCUAAGGCUGAGACACGACGUCGAGCUACUACGGUAGUGAAGUCAUUGAUGCCAUGCUUCCAGGAAAAGCCUCUAAGCUUCAGAUAGUCAGGAAUCGUACCCCAAACCGACACAGGUGGUCGGGUAGAGAAUACCAAGGCGCUUGAGAGAACUCGGGUGAAGGAACUAGGCAAAAUGGUACCGUAACUUCGGGAGAAGGUACGCUCUUGAUGGUGAAGUCCCUCGCGGAUGGAGCUGACGAGAGUCGCAGAUACCAGGUGGCUGCAACUGUUUAUUAAAAACACAGCACUGUGCAAAAUCGCAAGAUGACGUAUACGGUGUGACGCCUGCCCGGUGCCGGAAGGUUAAUUGAUGGGGUUAGCGCAAGCGAAGCUCUUGAUCGAAGCCCCGGUAAACGGCGGCCGUAACUAUAACGGUCCUAAGGUAGCGAAAUUCCUUGUCGGGUAAGUUCCGACCUGCACGAAUGGCGUAAUGAUGGCCACGCUGUCUCCACCCGAGACUCAGUGAAAUUGAAAUCGCUGUGAAGAUGCAGUGUACCCGCGGCUAGACGGAAAGACCCCGUGAACCUUUACUACAGCUUGGCACUGAACAUUGAACCUACAUGUGUAGGAUAGGUGGGAGGCUAUGAAGACGUGACGCCAGUUGCGUUGGAGCCGUCCUUGAAAUACCACCCUUGUAUGUUUGAUGUUCUAACUUAGACCCAUUAUCUGGGUUGAGGACAGUGCCUGGUGGGUAGUUUGACUGGGGCGGUCUCCUCCCAAAGAGUAACGGAGGAGCACGAAGGUGGGCUAAUCACGGUUGGACAUCGUGAGGUUAGUGCAAUGGCAUAAGCCCGCUUAACUGCGAGAAUGACGGUUCGAGCAGGUGCGAAAGCAGGUCAUAGUGAUCCGGUGGUUCUGUAUGGAAGGGCCAUCGCUCAACGGAUAAAAGGUACUCCGGGGAUAACAGGCUGAUACCGCCCAAGAGUUCAUAUCGACGGCGGUGUUUGGCACCUCGAUGUCGGCUCAUCACAUCCUGGGGCUGAAGUCGGUCCCAAGGGUAUGGCUGUUCGCCAUUUAAAGUGGUACGCGAGCUGGGUUUAGAACGUCGUGAGACAGUUCGGUCCCUAUCUGCCGUGGGCGUGGAAGAUUGAAGGGGGCUGCUCCUAGUACGAGAGGACCGGAGUGGACGAACCUCUGGUGUUCGGGUUGUGUCGCCAGACGCAUUGCCCGGUAGCUAAGUUCGGAAUUGAUAAGCGCUGAAAGCAUCUAAGCGCGAAGCGAGCCCUGAGAUGAGUCUUCCCUGACAGUUUAACUGUCCUAAAGGGUUGU